Molecule: transfer RNA, 73 nt
Filed under: Bos taurus (domestic cattle)
Lineage: Eukaryota; Metazoa; Chordata; Mammalia; Artiodactyla; Bovidae
Also listed under: 3 other names
Description: tRNA-Arg (CCT) (tRNA-Arg-CCT-32-1)
Rfam family: tRNA
About the family: Transfer RNA (tRNA) molecules are approximately 80 nucleotides in length. Their secondary structure includes four short double-helical elements and three loops (D, anti-codon, and T loops).
Source: Rfam by way of RNAcentral
UCCCUGGUGGUCCAGUAGCAAGGAUUCUGCACUCCUAAUGCAGGGGGCCCGAGUUCAAUCCCUGGUCAGGGAA